GCCCUUAUAGCUCAGUGGUAGAGCGCAUCACUCGUAGCCUAUGCUUAUGUAAGCAACAUUAUUAUGAUGAGGUCCAUCGUUCAAAUCGGUGUGGGGGCA
This 99-nucleotide transfer RNA is filed under the name Rhizoctonia solani AG-8 WAC10335. It matches the Rfam family "tRNA". Rfam says of the family: Transfer RNA (tRNA) molecules are approximately 80 nucleotides in length. Their secondary structure includes four short double-helical elements and three loops (D, anti-codon, and T loops). The record is from Rfam by way of RNAcentral. Lineage: Eukaryota; Fungi; Basidiomycota; Agaricomycetes; Cantharellales; Ceratobasidiaceae.